This 319-nucleotide unclassified non-coding RNA is filed under the name Hevea brasiliensis (rubber tree). Lineage: Eukaryota; Viridiplantae; Streptophyta; Magnoliopsida; Malpighiales; Euphorbiaceae. The record is from RNAcentral.
AUCAUGAGAGAUAACUGAAUUUUACGUUAGCCGUCAAUCUACUACAAUCCUCCCUUUGUCCGGUCUUGGGAUUGCUAUGCUCAUUGUUAAUCAUUUUAUACAAGUACAUCCAUUUAAACAUCUGGGUCUUGCAUUAAUGAUUAAUUCUGUGUUCUGAGACAUGUAUCCCAUGGAAAUUGUGUCAUACAUAAAAUUAUGGAAUGAGGCAUCAUUACAAUCAGCAGUUUGUGCUUCUAGUCAAGUAACUUGACCAGAAGAUGCAUAUGGUGCACUUAGUGAUCAACCUUCAGUUAGUGUUUUAUAUACUAGCCACUGAAUA